This 253-nucleotide ribosomal RNA is filed under the name uncultured bacterium. Its description in RNAcentral is "partial 16S ribosomal RNA". It matches the Rfam family "Bacterial small subunit ribosomal RNA", at positions 524 to 776 of the family's 1533-position model. The record is from RNAcentral.
AACGUAGGACACAAACGUUAUCCGGAGUUACUGGGCGUAAAGGGCGCGCAGGCGGACAUGUAAGUCUACUCUGAAAGCUCCUGGCUAAACUGGGAGAGGCGAGUGGAGACUGUGUGUCUAGAGUGAGGAAGAGGAAAGUGGAAUUCCGCGUGUAGUGGUGAAAUGCGUAGAGAUGCGGAGGAACACCAGUGGCGAAAGCGGCUUUCUGGUCCUUAACUGACGCUGAGGCGCGAAAGCAUGGGGAGCGAACGGG